Rhinopithecus bieti (black snub-nosed monkey) is the source of this 332-nucleotide unclassified non-coding RNA. Its record names the gene 7SK. It matches the Rfam family "7SK RNA". From Rfam's summary of the family: 7SK was discovered as an abundant small nuclear RNA in the mid-70s but a possible function has only recently been suggested. Two independent studies have found that 7SK RNA binds the CDK9/cyclin T complex (known as elongation factor P-TEFb). The record is from Ensembl. NCBI's taxonomy places the organism in Eukaryota, Metazoa, Chordata, Mammalia, Primates, Cercopithecidae.
GGAUGUGAGGGCAAUCUGGCUGUGACGUCUCUCACCCAAUUGAUCACCAGGGUUAAUCCGGCUGAUCUGGCUGGCUAGGCCGGUGUCUCCUUCCUUCCUCCCUCACUGCUCCAUGUAUGUCCCUCCGGAGGCUGCACACUCAGUCGAAGAGAACGACCAUCGCCAAUAGAGGAGGACUGGUCUUCAGUUAAGGGUAUGUAAGUAGUUGCGUUCCCCUGCUAGAACCUCCAAACAAGCUCUCAAGGUCCCAAGUAGCUAGGAUUACGGGCACACGCCAUCAUGCUUUGCUAUGAUUCUCUUCUCAGUUAAAAGUAGUGCUGUUCUUUUAGCUG